UACGGAGGAUGCGAGCGUUAUCCGGAUUUAUUGGGUUUAAAGGGUGCGUAGGCGGCCCGGACAGUCAGUGGUGAAAGUUUGUCGCUCAACGAUAAAAUUGCCAUUGAAACUAUCGGGCUUGAGUAUAUUUGAAGUAGGCGGAAUUCGUAGUGUAGCGGUGAAAUGCAUAGAUAUUACGAGGAACUCCGAUUGCGCAGGCAGCUUACUAAACUAUAACUGACGCUGAGGCACGAAAGUGUGGGUAUCAAACAGG
This 253-nucleotide ribosomal RNA is filed under the name uncultured bacterium. RNAcentral's name for it is "partial 16S ribosomal RNA". It matches the Rfam family "Bacterial small subunit ribosomal RNA", at positions 524 to 776 of the family's 1533-position model. The record is from RNAcentral.